Molecule: ribosomal RNA, 123 nt
Filed under: Gammaproteobacteria bacterium
Lineage: Bacteria; Pseudomonadati; Pseudomonadota; Gammaproteobacteria
Description: partial 16S ribosomal RNA
Source: RNAcentral
GCUGACGAGUGGCGGACGGGUGCGUAACGCGUGGGAAUCUGCCCAGUAGUGGGGGAUAACCCGGGGAAACUCGGGCUAAUACCGCAUAAUCCCCAAGGGGAAAAGCGGGGGAUCUUCGGACCU